RNAcentral lists this long non-coding RNA (702 nucleotides) under Vigna radiata. Its description in RNAcentral is "long non-coding RNA (VRAD_LNC008758)". Lineage: Eukaryota; Viridiplantae; Streptophyta; Magnoliopsida; Fabales; Fabaceae. The record is from RNAcentral.
AUAAGCAUGAAUGCAAUUUGAUCAAUUGAGGUUAAACACAAAAGUGGAUGGAUGAAUGGAGUUGUUGGGGGUUUACAAUUUCAUCUAAUCCGCUCUCUCUUAUUUACUCCUCUUGAAUUAUUAGCUUGAUUAAUUAAUUGUCAUGCAACUUUCUUAGCCUACCCUUAACCCGAUCCCUCGGCGAAAAAAGCCUAAUACUAAUUACUGGCUUGCUAUCCCUAGCCUCCCCUAGCAAUUAAUACAACAUUAUAUAGCAGAAGUUAAAUGCAAUUGAUUGUCCUACCCCUAUCCCUAGGUGGUAUUGCAAAAUCAAGGAAUUACUCACCAGUUCAUGACAUUACUGUACGUCCCCGUAUCAAUAAAGACAAACAACAGUUAUCGAAUGAGUUAAACGAUAAAAGCAUUAAGCACAGAUGAGAACCCAACAAUUAAUAAUCAAAGCAUAUGGAAACCAUAUAAAUAAACAAGAGUUUCAAUAAAAGAGAGUUUAGAGGUUACAUCUUUUCCCAGCAACAAAUAAGAUUAGUUCCCCAUCGUCAUGGAGAAACUAGGUGAAGAAUGGAAUGAAAGAGAUAGAAACCCUAAAAAGGAGAAAAGGAGAGUUGUCACCAUCUCCAAAUCUAGCCCCAAAGGGGUGAAAAGUUUGUUUCUGUGCCUAAGCCAUCAAAAGAUACCAACCCUAAGACGUUCUGGCCUUUAAAG